UGACCGCUGGCGGUAGGCCUAACACAUGCAAGUCGAACGGCAGCACAGUAAGAGCUUGCUCUUACGGGUGGCGAGUGGCGGACGGGUGAGGAAUACAUCGGAAUCUACUUUUUCGUGGGGGAUAACGUAGGGAAACUUACGCUAAUACCGCAUACGACCUACGGGUGAAAGCAGGGGAUCUUCGGACCUUGCGCGAUUGAAUGAGCCGAUGUCGGAUUAGCUAGUUGGCGGGGUAAAGGCCCACCAAGGCGACGAUCCGUAGCUGGUCUGAGAGGAUGAUCGGCCACACUGGAACUGAGACACGGUCCAGACUCCUACGGGAGGCAGCAGUAGGGAAUAUUGGACAAUGGGCGCAAGCCUGAUCCAGCCAUACCGCGUGGGUGAAGAAGGCCUUCGGGUUGUAAAGCCCUUUUGUUGGGAAAGAAAAGCAGCAGGUUAAUACCCCGCUGUUCUGACGGUACCCAAAGAAUAAGCACCGGCUAACUUCGUG
RNAcentral lists this ribosomal RNA (490 nucleotides) under uncultured bacterium. RNAcentral's name for it is "partial 16S ribosomal RNA". It matches the Rfam family "Bacterial small subunit ribosomal RNA", at positions 30 to 507 of the family's 1533-position model. The record is from RNAcentral.